Molecule: non-coding RNA, 19731 nt
Organism: Oryctolagus cuniculus (rabbit)
Lineage: Eukaryota; Metazoa; Chordata; Mammalia; Lagomorpha; Leporidae
Source: RefSeq, a predicted model, not a curated record
AUUUGCUGGAUUACUCCACAAAUGUCCUCAACAGCUAGGCAGGGUCACGUUGAAGCCAGGAACUGACUCAAUCUGGGUAUCUUACUUGAGCAGCAGGAGCCCAACCGCUUGAGCCACCAGGGUCUGCACUAGCAGGAAGCUGGAGUUGGGAGAGGAGCUGAGACGUGAACCCAGGCACUCCAGCGUGGGAUGCAGCUGUCUAACUGCUAGCCCUGCCCCUUUUUUUCUUUUGGGGAUUACUUUGACACAGCUGAGAAGAGUCCCACUGCCUUGUGUAUGUGUUUCCUUUACAGUGGUUCUGACUUCUCCUCUAAAUAACUCCUAAUGGGGGCGGGCUCUGUGGCAUAGCAGGUAAGGCAGCUGCCUGAAGUGUCGGCAUCCCGUAUGGGCACCAGUUUGAGUCCCGGCUGCUCCACUUCUGAUACAUUUUCUGCUAUGGCCUGGGAAAUCAGCAGAAGAUGGCCCAAAUGCCUGGGCCCCUGCACCCACGUGGGAGACUCGAAAGAAGCUCCUGGCUCCUGGCUUUGGAUCACUGCAACUUUGGCUGUUGUGGCUAUUUAGGGAGUGAACCAGUGGAUGGAAGACCUCUUUCUGUCUCUCCCUCUGUCUGUGACUCUACUUCUCAAAUAAAUAAAUAAAUAAAAUCUUUAAAAAAAAGAAAGAAAAGAGAAGCUCCAAACAGUAGGAUGGGAGGGGCUGGUAGAGAGAGACCAAGCUGCUGAGGUCUGCCAGCCUCGAGGUGUUUGUGUGUCCACACGUUAUCUCCAAGGUACAAAGGUGGUGGUGACACAUUAGUUACCGUGAAGAUCGGGCAGGCUUCGCGGAGCCCUCGCUGGCUUGUUUUUAUCUAAGCCUGGAUCUUGUCAUGGAAACCUAGCUCUUGUCAUCGGUGAUAAGUAUUUGUUAGAACGAGCUUCCACCCUGUUCUGCCGAGCGUGUACGUGCUGGAAGGCGCUGCAGUUUGGACGUGCCGGCCAGGAGCUGUGGGAGGGCGUCAGUCUGGCCUGCUUCUAGUCCCGAGCACCCUCGCAGAGGACUGUAUCUACAUUUACUCUUUGAAUCCCUGCAGCAACCUUACAAGAAGCUCACGUGUCCCGAAGCUUCGAAUCAGGAGAAGAAAUAAGCACGUGGCAUUGUCCGGAGUCGACCAAGUCCUUUCUAAGUGUUGGCUUUUCUGAGAUACUACAGAGUCGGGUCCAGAAGAUCUCCACAACGAGAAGUAUCCUGCUGACAACCUGGUUAAGGUAGCUCCACAUCUGGCAAUUGUUAUCCAUGGAAUUUUCUCCAGAAAGGUAUGAUGGUUCUCUCAACACAGGAAUAGUUUACACAGAAGACAUUCCAGAAAUAUCUUCCUGCUGCUUCUCCACAUAGUUGUGUUUUUGUGUCAUGAAAAAUUGUGGCUUAUCUGCAGCCAUCUUGAACCACAGCCUACUGUUUGUCACUAGAGUGUGUCUUGAGUACCUAGUCUGACAGCAAAGGCCAAAGGCCAAAAGCCAUGGAAGGGAAUCUUGGUCUGCCAAAAAUGUGCCGUUUUUAGUCUCUUUUCACUCAAAUGCUUGGUGAAUGAUAAAUGUGCUUGCUUUGUUUCUCAAGUGCAGAGUGUUAGAGGGCUUAAUUCAACCAUCUGUGUGUGUAGACAACCCAUCUGUGUGGGUAGACAACAGGGAAUUGAAAUAGGCUAGGAAUGAUUAAAAGUAUUACCUGGAAGUAAUUCUGUCCACUGACAAUGUUCUUCAAGGGAGAGGCGGCCAUUCCAAAAAGUGUCCCCCAUCUCAGCUUCCUGCUUACCACAGCCCUGCCUGCCUCUUUCCAUGCCCUUGCUGGUUGUGGCCAUUGGGGGGCUCAUUUGACAGCAGACUAAGCAAUGAACAUUGUGUGGGCAGAAGCCUGGACAGUUCUGUUUGUACUACAAGGCUUAGCACAGUGCCCAACUCUCAGGUUUUCGUGAAUGUCCAUCAGGUGAGGUACAAAUCAUGCAGAACUCAAAACUCAAAAGUUUGAGGCACAGCUCUUAGGAGGAAUGAACCUGGAAUAUUCUGGAUAUCUGUGAGCUGAUCAAUUAGCAUGAAUUGUUGCCAUGAGAGAAAAAUAAGCACUGGUUUUAAAUAGAGGUGCUGGGAACUCGUGUUCCUGGCAGUCGGUCAUGUGGGUGCCAAUUUGUGGGCUGUGGUUAUAGAAGUAAUGAGGGCUCCAUGAGGGCACCACCUGGGCAGUUGUAUUCAUGGCUUUAUCCCCUGUGCCUGACAGUAACUGCUCAAAAUGUUUGUGGAAUAAAUGAUGGGCUGGCUUUAGACAAGGAACCCUCAGUGGUCGGGCAGACAUUGGGCUGAGGCCACAGGGUGUUGCACAUGUCAACGACUAACAGCUCUUGUGAUUCAAAUCUCUCCAUCAGAAUAAGAGAAAGUCCUGAUUUCAUUUCCAUAAUGUUGCAUAUGGGGGGGAAAUGUUCAUGGAUACUUGCAACAAAAUGAUGGAACUGGAGAUCAUUAUAUUAAGUGAAAUAAACCACAUGUGGAAAAAUACUGCCUGCUCUCUUUCAUAAGUAGGAAUUACAAAUAUAGCUCAUGUGAGCUUAGAACAGAGGCUGUGGAGGGCGGAGGGAAGGAGGACAGAUGGAGGCUGGAAGACAGGCACCCAAACACAGUCUGGUGGAAGUGUCAAAUCCUAGUGCUCCACAGCACCGUGGUGGACCACAGUUCCCACUAGUGCAUUAUAUGCUGUGUGAAGGCUUGGAGGAGAGGAGCUGGUGUGCUCCACACACAAAGAAAAGACAAGGAAAUGGAAAGGCUGGCUGCCUGGUUUUGCUGUGGGCUAGGGUGUAGUAAUUUUUACUCCAGGCUUGUGCCUCAUAAUUGACAAGCAUUCUGAGUGUAGACACAUAUAAGGUGCACAAGUGAUACCAAAAAUUUGUUCAACAGGUGAGAAAGUGAACACCUAUACAUGUGUGAAUGUAGGUGGCUCUACAUGGAUAAUUAUCUGUUAUGAGUGGACAGUGGGCCAGAGAAUUGCUUGAAGGAAGGAUGGUGGGGUAGGGGAGAGAGAGAGAUUGUACCUGUGCAGCAUCUCCAGGCACAGUCUGUGGGGAAAGAGAGAGAGAGAGAGAGAGAGAGAGAGAGAGAGCGAGCCAGAGAGCUCCUCCUCUGCUCUUGGCCUCUUUUAUGAGAUAGGAGGUGAUUCUCCUAAAGAUCUGAAGCCACUUGGGGGUUAUAUGGCCCUUCUACAAGUUCCACAUGGAACUCUAUACUGUAUUUUCAUGGCAUCCCUCCCCCUUAGGUCCUGGAUGAAGCAGAUGCAUAUUGGGAAAGGGGGUGUUUGGAUGGACAAGUAUGAGGAUAGAAUUACAAAUGGGAGCUUGUGACUUCCAGCUCAGCAGACCUAAGCUAACUAACUACCUGCCUGUUUAUCCCACAUCAACUUGAUUGGCUUGUGCUGUACUUAUGUGUUGAGAUAUUGAAGGGUACGCCAUAAAAAUGUAACAGUGUUGCAUGUUAAUAAAUAAAAAGCAAGCGCUGUAAAACUAAAACAAGUGUUCAUGAGAAAUAAAUUUAAAGAUAAAUUUAUAUUAGUGCAAUGAUGUUUUUGGUUAAGACACCCACCUCUCCUAUCAAAGUGCCUAGAUUUGAGUCCCGGUUUCACUCCCAAUUCCAACUUUCUGCUAAUGUACACCAAAUGCGGAGCUGGGAGACCGUCAGUGAUGGUUCAAGUAGUCAGGUCCUUGCCACCUACAUAAGAGACCUGGACUGCAGUCCCAGCUCCUUGCUUCAUGCUGGUUGCAAGCACUUGGGGAGUAAACUGGUAGUUAGGAGUGCUUGCUCUCUCUCUCUCUCAGAUAAAAAAGAACUUUUAAAGAAAUUUAAAUAUAAAUAAAUGUAAGCCCCAAACUAUCCUUAGACUUUGCCUUCCACAGAGGCCUGCUUCUGUCCUAUAUGAGCAAUUGGGAUUUCCUAAGUUUAGAGCCACUCACAAACAGUGACUAUACCUCGCCCAGUGAGUGUAUUCCCUGUGAGGUUUGUUCAUGCUAUUCGUCCCCUCUUAAAGCAUCAUGAGCCUCAGAAAAUUUCUCUGUGUGUGGCAACAACCCAUGUGAUUCAUGAAAUCAUACAAAAGUUCUUCUAAAAGUUCAUGAAGUUGAAAUCCAUGCACCAUUUUUCUUCUUUUUUUUAUAUUAGCACAAACCCAUUUAUUGACAACUCAGAGGGAUGAUCCUAAUUAAACCAACACUUUUGGGAUAGUUGGAAGUGAAAAGUUUGUGAUAACAAUAAUUUAAUAUAUUCAUGAAAAAAAAAGCAGUAUGGAAAUUUACUAAUUGAAUUGAGCUUGUUAAUUGUUGCAGCUAAUUCCUGUCCAAAACAAUGACAGAACUUUUGUCUGGCUUUCUCAUAGACCUGAUGACAGGUGGCUUUGUUCAUGAAACAAUCCAUCAUUAGUUUCCCAUCUUGCAGUUUCCUUGUGAAUGCAUGAAUCAUUUUCUCAUAACACAUUUUCCAUGAAACUUUAAAAAUAAAUACAUCUUUUUAAAACAUGUAUUUAUUUAUUUGAAAGGCAGAGUUAGAGAGAGAGAGAGAUCUUCCAUCCACUGGUUCAUUCCCCAAGUGACCGCAACAGCUGGGGCUGGGCCAGGCUUAAGCCAGGAGGCAGGAGCUUCGUCAGGGUCUCCCACAUGGGUGACAGGGACUCAAGAACUUGGGCCGUCUUCCGCUUCUUUCCUGGAUACAUUAUCAGGGAGCUGGAUCUGAAAUACAGCAGCCAGGACUGGAACCAGCACCCAUACUGGAUGCCAGCAUCACAUACAAUAACUUCAACCACAUACAAUGCUGACCCCUUCCAUGAACUUUCUGAAGACCCCCUUAUGCACAGAGGAUAGUUUCAACUGCUAGGCCCAAUGCUUAUCCCCAAGCACAUUUUAUAAAGUUCUUGAGGAAGCUGGCUUGAUCACAGCAGAGAUCUGUAGGUCUCUUGGUGCCAAAGAUUUGAUGCUGGUAUUGUCAGGUGAGGCUUCAAAGCUCCAAGGCUGAUAGGGUACCUCCUUGUUGCAGCCUAAGCUCAUAGGCUUUGAUAAAGCAGGUUAGAGAGUCACCCUGCCUUGUCAAAGUCUCUUCAAGUGUGAAACUCGGGUUAUAUUUGGGAUAAUUGUCAAGUCUAGGAGUUGAGGCCAGUAACUCCCAUUUGGGGGUCAAAUGAGGUUUGAUGUAACAUUUCUAAGGAAUGGGGAAGUUCAUUCCCAGUUCUCACACAUGGGAUCUGAUAAGAUGUCACACAGUGGAGGGAAGGAGAAAUACAUUCUAAAACAAAAACAUGAUGGAGCAAACUAUGUCAGUGCCUGGAAUCAUUUCAAAGCUAUGUAACAUUGGGCUGGGUGCCGUGGCGCAGCAGAUUAAAGCCGUGGCUUACAACACUAACAUCCCAAAUGAGCACUGGUUCGAGUCCUGGCUGCUCUGCUUCUAAUCCAACUCCCUGCUGAUGGUGCCUGGGAAGCAGCAGAAGACAGCUCAAGUGCUUGGGCCCCAGCACCCUCGUGGGAGACCCAGAAGAAGUUCCUUGCUCCUGGCUUUGGUCUGGCCUAGCCCCAGUUAUUGCGGCCAUUUGGGGAGUAAACCAUCGUGGAUGAAAGACCUCUCUUUGUCUUUACUUCUCUCUGGAACUCUGCCUUUCAAAUCAAUAAAAACAAAUCUUUUAAAGAAAGCUAUGUAACACAUAAGGAAAGAUUUUUUUCCAGACUUGUCAAUCAUAUGAAUUCUAAAGUGAGUAAAAAUAUAUUUUCUUUUUUUAUGGUUUUUUUUUUUUGACUUUUUAAUAUUUUUUUAUUUAGUAAAUAUAAAUUUCCAAAGUACAGUUUAUGGAUUACAAUGGCUCCCCCCCCCCCAUAAUUUCCCUCCCACUCGCACCCCUCCCAUCUCCUGCUCCCUCUCCCAUUCCAUUCACAUCAAGAUUCAUUUUCAAUUAUCUUUAUAUACAGAAGAUCGAUUCUCAAGUAAAGAAGUAUAUUUAUUAUAUAAAAGCAUAUAAUAGCUAAAAAUAAAAAUGAAUAUAAUUUUGCCACUUAGAGAUACUGUCAAUUUUUUGGAGUAUAUUUCAUCCUCUCUCUUCCUGUUAGGAUGCUGUGUUUAAUUUUCCACUCAGUAGUAUUGUGUAUUUCAUGUUAUUAGGUGUUUUCUAUAUGGUACUAUCAAAGAUAAUGCUUCAGUGAGCAUCAUCUUUAUACUUUAUAUACAAAUCCUUAUUUGUAUUUUCAAUUGUUUAAAAAAAAUGAACCGAAGUGGACGUUGUAGGUCAAAGGUUAUGACACACUUCGCAAAGUUGAGGGGAAGCCUGUUCUGUGUAGAACUGACUUUCCCACUAUCAGCAAUUAACAACAGCAGCAACAACAAGCAAGAUGGUGGCUAAGGUGCUCCAAGGAUCGUUUCCCUACAAAGAUGCCAACUUGAACGGCUAAUCACAUACAAGCCACCUUUAUGAGAGCUAAAGGAGCCAGACCAGAGAACAACGUGUCUUCAAAAAAAAGAUGCAUUGAAGCCGGAAGGAAAGAGUUGCAGUGUCACCCUCACCCGGCUCCAAGCAGGGCAGCUCUGCAGGAGGGAGAGGGAAUUAAGUCCAGACCUUUAACCUGAAACCCAGUACCAGGCCUGCCAGUGUACAACCCAGCACCGCAGGCCCUGUCACUACCUGUAGACCAAACUUUGGACCUGCCUCAGCCACACGGUGAAGGCACUGCAUCCAUCAUCUUUUCCUCAACAUUUAGCAGACAGUAGAGCAAGAUUCCAGCAACCGGACAGCAGGGUGGGGAACUCAAUGCAGAACUUCACCUUGGAGCCCAACGUCAGCACAUCCGAAGUAUGACUCAGCACCAAAUAAAGCCCAAAGUUCUCUGUUCCCAGGCUAACUCUUGCAGGCAGAACCUCUAGUGGUUCAUUCUGAACUGCAUGCCAGCUGUGGAUGUGGGGUGCACCUGGAAUUGGGGAACCCUUUGGUGUUGAAAUAGCAGCAAUGUGCUAAUAACUGGCCUGCAGUAGACCUGAGCGUGGGACGCCACCAGUGCCGAAAUCCUGGAAAUGUCCGUAGCCACUGAGAAAAUCAACAAGACUGCUUAGAAUUUCUGGAAGCAGGUACAAACAAAGCCAGAUUAUGAAAACUGGGAAAAAAUUCUUAAUCUUUCAACUUGUGCAUGAUAUUGUACACCAAUAAGCAUCAAAAUUUUCUGACAGCCAUGACCUCACCUAAUGUACAGAAUGAAGUGCCAGAAACCAAACAGAUAGCAACUGAUAAAGGCAAAUCUUCAGGUGUAAAAUUCAAACUAGCUGUUUGAGGAGAUUCACGGAGAUGCAGGAAAACACAGAAACUUAGUGGACAGAUAGAAAUAAAUAAAAGAAGGAAAUCCUUGUGUUGAAAAGUAUGUUAAGGAACAUUAAAAACGUGAUAGAAUACACCAGUAGCAGACUAGAUCAAACAGAAGUAACAAUUAGUGAGCUUUAAGGCAGGCUAGUUGAAAGUAUGCAGAGGAAGAAAAAAACAUGAAGAGGAAUGUAAAAUGCUCACAGGGACUUUGGGACAGCAUUAAAAGAGCAAAUAUUGAAGUAACUAGGGUUCAAGCGGAGCUUGUGAAGGCCAAAGGUAUAGAAACCAAAGAGAUAAUAACAAAAUUUGCCAAGCACAGGGCAAGUUGCAGCUGUCCAGAUACAGGGAAGUCAGGGGUCACCAGUCUGAUUCAACACAAUCAAGUCAAUCCCAAGUAGUAUUAAUCAAAGGUUCCAAGGUUAAAGAUAGAGGCUUCUCAAUGUUGCAGAAGGAAGGGAAGUACACAUAAAGGUGUCAGUUCACUGGACUGCACACUUUCUGGCUGGAACCUUGUGCAGUAAGAGAGAGUGAGAUAAGACUUUCAGUAUCUGAAGGGAAAAACCUGCCAACCAGCUAAGUUAUCGUUUGGACCUGAAGGAGAGAUAAAGACAUUUCUAGACAAACAAGAGCUAGACUUGUCCUACAAGAUAUGCUAAAGGGAGUUCUUCAAAUAGCAGGUAGGAGAUGCUGACAAGUAAAAAGAAAACAUCGGAAGAUAGAAAACUUGCUGAUUAGAGAGCCUGGAAAGAAGUCCACUCAUCUCCAAUCCUGACCUAAGACAGGUGGUGGAGUUUUUCGAACCGGGGGCUGAGGUGUAAGGCCCGGUCAAGGGCAGAAGGCUGGUGUCUCAGCUCCAGCAGUCUGGCAGAGCGGGUGAAAACCCCUUGCCUUUGCCUUUUGUUCUAUUCAGGCCCUCAGUGGAUUGGGUGAUGCCCACUCUCACUGGAGAAAACCAUGGGCUUUACUCAGCUCACUGAUUCAAAUGCUAAUCUCAUGUGAAACUGCCUCCCCCACCCCCAACAAUGUUUAAUCUAGGCACCUGCUGGCCUAAGCUGACCCUACAAAGAACCAUCCUGCACAGGAUUGCAAUCAUCAGUUCCUUUGGAAUAUACUCUGUGCAUAAUGCGUGCACAGCAUGCAAAUUGCCAAGUUCAGAAAGGAAGCCUCAGGGGAGUGUGUUUCCAAGAUCUAAGACUUUCAGAAACCAAGUAAACCACACACAGCUUGUGGGAGUUAGGCAACUCUGCAAGCCAGGCUGGGUAGACUGCCAAGAUGACGGGCCAUCUGACUAUGUUUCUAGGGACAAUAAGGCACCCUAUUUGGCACCAGUUUUGGGAAAAGUGGAAGAAGUACAGCGCAGCCAGCUGAAAGCCUUCGCCUCAUUGGAAUUCAGCUGGGCCCGGAGGACAUCUGCCAUCUGGGCUGUUUUGUUCUCUGCUUGUUCCUGUGCCUGGGGAAGAGCCUGGAACACUGUGGGUUUCACAACACCACACUCUCCCCGGGCAUGACUUGAGACAGCAUCGUAUGUGUGGUCCAUGCUGGGAGGGUGCUUGGAGGAAUAUAAAAACUGUCUGGAGGGUAGUUAUCAAUCAGCUGCUGUGUCAAGACCAGUUGCAAACAACAAAACCCAUCAGUCUAGAUUAAGAUGAUAAAAAGACUUAUUGGAAGAAUAUUACAAAACCUACAGAAUUGCUACAUGGCUCUAAAUCCACAUAUACUGGAAUAAUACCCAACUAGGCUGUGGGUUUGCUCCAGCCUCCCUGGGCACUUUUGCUGGGCAUCCUCACCUGGAUUGGCUGCCUAACGCUGCUCCCCUGCCUCCCUGAUCACAAGGCAUAUUUGAUGUGCUUCUUGGGAGAUUGGUCCCCUCAACUGUUACUUUGAAAUUGGCCAGCUUUAUUAAUGCUGAGGGGCCCCGCUGUCUAUCCAGAUAACAAUUCUGAAUAUCAGCUUGAAUAAAGCAGGCAACAUGGUAAGGUUUUUAGCAUUUAUUCAGUGAGAGAAAUACACAGGGAAGCGAGAGCUUUAUUUAGGCAGAAAGAAGUCUAGAAAUGUUAAGCUGGGUCCAUACCAGGCAGAGAGCAGGCCAGGAGCCAUCUUCUACUGCUAUCCCAGGCCAUAGCAGAGAGCUGGAUCAGAAGAGGAGCAGCCGGGACCAGAACUGGCACCCAUAUGGGAUGCCAGUGCUUCAGGCUUUAACCCCUUGCACCACAGCGCUGGCCCCCUUUCUCUUAAGUUUAUAGAUUGCUAUAGUCAAAGCCAAUGCACUGUUUUCAUAUUCAGAUCAAUGACCAUUAUCUUUUCUGUCUUUGGUAAACGGAGUUAGAGUGAUAAUGAGAGGUGAGUUAGGAAUAAGAAUGUGCCCAGAGGCUUCCUGCUAAUGUGCACCUUGGAAGGUAGCAAAUGAUGGCUCAGGUAAUUGGAACCCUGUCACCCACGUAGGAGAUCCAGAUUGAAUUCUCAGUUCCUGGCAUUGGUAUGACUCAGGCUUGCCUGUUGUGGACAUGAGGAGAGAACCAAUGGAUGGGAGAUCUCUGCCUGCCCAUAUGGGAUGCCAGAGCGUCAGGCCAGGGCUUUAACCCACUGUGCCACAGCACCGCUCCCCCCCCAUGUUUCUUUUAACAGAUUAAUUCCCUUAUCAGAAUCUCCCCAGUGCCUCUAAUUCCUAAAACGAGCAGCAAGUAGCCAGAAUGACCGAUUAUGUGGCUUUCCUGGAAAACUGAUUGAUCACUGAGUUUAAGAUCCACCUUCAGAAUCCUGUACACUGCCACAUAGAGAAAUGUAAAAUUUUUAUUUUCAAUUUAUUGGCUGGAUUAAGCACCUCAGCAUUCCUUACUGAGUACGUGAUAAAAUUCACAUGUAAUAUAAAUAUAAAGUGUAUUAUACAUACCUUGUCCUCAAACAUGUUAAAAAUUCAUUGAAACAAUUCUCAUUUUGUAAGAUUUAGCAGUUUGGACGGAGCCUGUCAAUAUUAUGCAAUUUCUAUUUCUAUUUCCUGGUGCCCUGCCCCCAGCACACACUCCGCUCCCAUUUUACUGUUGGCUGAUGGUCACCGUGACUGGUUGAGGUUUGAGGAGGACGGUCCCCACGGGCCACCCCUGGAUUGCUGGGGACUGUGAUUCAUCCUCAUUGGAGAAUAUGCUCUCUUCUCCCCAGCCCCGAGAAUCACUAGUGUGGGAUAUAGAAAAAUAGGCAUGGAACAAAUUUCCGUAGUAAACCAUGUUAGUAACAUCCAGUUUUUUCCAAUAGCGUGAGUAUAUCCUUUGCUGGCAGCAGAGGGCUUCCUGAGGAGUACAGAGUUUCCCUUCAGGAGAAGGGAAAAGUGCGGUGUGCACGGUGAGGAAUGAAGCUACUAAGAGAAGCCACAGCUGUCCUGCAGCUUCUUGGCUGUGUGUGCUCAAUCCUUGGUUCAAGUUCUGCUGUUUGGCGAAUCCCUGAACACUGUGUGACAGCCAUCUGAGUAUUUGAAGCUGUUUAUUGUAUUUUCAGGUUGAGGCAUUUGGAUCUGGCUGAAGAGCCCAUGAGAGUAUUUCAUGCAUGGAAAUCAAGACACUCUGGCAAAAACAAAGAGGACCUAAAUGAAAGAUCUCUGUGAGUGAGAUCCCAGUGGAAAGAAUGGGGACAUCGAAGAAGGAGCUUGUUUUUUCUCAACAAUCAAAAUGCAAAGUUCAUCACAAUGGAGCUGUUGUUUUGGUUAUGCAUAAUGUGUAUCCCUCCAAAAGCAGAAGAAAAACAGAAAAAGUACCCUCACUAAAGUUUCCCCAUCACAUCUUUCAAGCUCAUCCCACAAAGGUGCCACGGGAGACUCAGGAAAAUACUUAGAAAGCUGCCCGAUGAGGUAUUUAUGCAAAAAGAGUAGUUCUGGAGUAAAGAACACAUUUUAUAAGAUAUUCAUCUAUUUUCUCAAGAGAUCAGAAAAGGAAAUCACACACAUUGCAUUUCAUUUUUUUAAAAUUAAAAAAAAUUUUUUUGACAGGUAGAGCUAGACACAGAGAGAGACAGAGAGAAAGGUUUUCUUUUUCCGUGGGUUCACCCCCAAAUGGUCGCUGUGCUGAUCUGAAGCCAGGAGCCAGGUGCUUCCUCCUGGUCUCACAUGCGGAUGCAGGACCCAAGGACCUGGGCCAUCCUCCACUACCUUCCUGGGCCACAGCAGAGAGCUGGACCGGAAGAGGAGCAACUGGGACAGAAUCCGGUGCCCCAACCGGGACUAGAACCCGCUGUGCUGGCGCUGCAGGCGGAGGAUUAGCCAAGUGAGCUGCGGUGCCGGCCACAUUUUAUUAUUUUCUAAAAGAAGCCUAUGCCCCUUUAGAAAAAUGAAAUGAGGGGGGACAGCCCACUGUGGGGAGUUUCAUUGGAAGAGUCCCCCUGCCAGAAACAGCCCUGAAAGUUUGCCUCUGCCUUCCAGGAGAGAGAAGCCUGCAUUUCCUCAUCGUGGCGGGGGUGGGGAAGGUAGGGGAUUGAGGUGGUGGUCUUUGGGAUGGGUCAGGUGGCAGCAAAGACAAGCGCUGCUCAGUCCCACAACUGUGGACCGGAGGGACUUUGUGGCAUCAGAUGUUUGGGUAGAGGGAGGGGGCAGAGCACUGUCACCUACACCCUCAACAAAGACACUGGAUGUGUCAGGCUUAGGGAAAGUCCCUGACCUGCUGCAUAGGUGCAGGGUUUCCCAUGUUCUCUCCUCAGCAACCCAAAGGAAGAUGAAAGUGGGCAAUGGCCCAGUGGAUUCCCACUGUCCUGGCUGCUGGCUCGGCAUUGGCCCACAAUGGCCGCAUCGAGAGGAUCUGGGAUCUCCACAGCCUCCUCCGGCUCCCCCACCAUCAGACCCCACCCAAGUGGAUGUUUUUGCUUCAAAACUGCCAUCCUUUUGGAUGGGAAAUAAUAUUCCUUGACAGGUUUCUCUUUGGAUCUCUCUGUUCAACGUCUGAUUUUUCAGGCAAAGAUGACAGGGUUUCUUGGCUACGUGACACCGUGUGGUUGUCUACAUUCAGCUCUCGAAAUCUUGUGGUCUUAAUUCCUGGCUGGUUGAUGCUCUCGGGUGAUGGACAGGCCGGCCGUCCCUUCUUCCUGUGAAAUGGCGCUGUUGCAAAACAGCCGGCCGUCCUUACCCCUUGGGCUCACUUCCUCCAUCACAUGUACCCUAUCUCCUACUCUCACCCAAAUAAGGCCCACUAGCAGGUUGCCCCUUCUCCUGGCAAAUUUGCAUAAUGAUUCACUGCCUUUUUUCCUAGAACCGAAUCACGGCAAUGAUUUUCUCAAGUCAGCGUCCCAUGAUUCUCUUGAGUCUAUCAUACACACUCACUACUAAGUUUGCCCUCUAUUGCUUCAUGUGAAACACGAGCAGACACAGAGAAAGGACACACUUUUCAACAGAGAACUGGAGGGGCUGGGGGCUGAGUGCACACAAGUCCAGCUGAGAAGACACCUGCACAACCAGCUUGUACUAUGCCCUUAUUAUCCAUUAUAAUAGUGCUAGGAAAUAUUAUCAUUGUUUUAAUGGAACCUAAAGUGUAAUCGCAUUAGCUUAUUAGGCAACUAGUAGUAAUGAUAAGCAAUGCUAAGUGUCUUUGACUUUAUGUAUGUAUUAUGUUAGAUGUUGAGUUAAGUAAUCCAGUAACUACAUUAAGUUGAUUACACUCCCCCUUCCCUCCACCUGGCCAAAUGUGACCCAACCUUGACCCAGGUCCAGGAAUGUAAAAGGGAGGUAUAAAGCUUGAGAUAACAACCAGCCCCUACCCUGGAGUCCGCAGCAGGUGUGGGGACUUAUUAGAAGUGUCAACUUGAUCUAUAGCAUUCCCCUAAAGCCUGCUUGUACAUGAUAAGAAAAGCUCUGUAAGAAUUGGGCUCGGGGCUUCUCGGGGGCUUCCUCUCCUGGAGGCACUGAGGGGCCCGGGUUCGAACUCGUAAUAAAAACGACCCUGCUAAUUGGCUUCAACUUUGGUCUCUGGUGGUGUGAUUUUCGGGGGGACCAUGGACUGCGGGCAUAACACAGCCAUCCAAGCCCCUACCAGAGCAAGAAGAGAAAUAUAUAUAUAAAAAUAUAAACAUAUAUAAAUAUAUAUUUGUAAAUUAUAUAUAUAAUAUAUAUAAAUAUAUUGCAGAGCAAGUUCCACAAGUCAGAAUUUGUCCCUGAAGAAGGUUAAACCUUAAACGCCUGCUUCAAAAAACCAAAACAAAAUAACCCAGAAAAAAAGAAAAAGAAAAAACCAAAACCAAUAACAAAGAGUGAAUGAAAAAAGAAAGAAGAAGAAAACCAAAAGACCUCUGAGCCUAAGGGUUUAAAAAUUAGAGGCAUAGUCUUUUCUCUGCUUUCUAUAUUUAUAUGAAAAUAAUUCAUGCGUCAUGCUAAAUAAAUUAUCUAACUGUGCAAGAAUUUCGUUUUUUUUGAAUAAAAGUUUGUUUUCCUGAUUUUUUUUCUUUUUUUUUCUUCAAAGGAGUCCAUGCAUUGUGGAUCAGAAAUUUCCGGCCGGCGCCGCGGCUCACUAGGCUAAUCCUCCGCCUAGCGGCGCCGGCACACCGGGUUCUAGUCCCGGUCGGGGCGCCGGAUUCUGUCCCGGUUGCCCCUCUUCCAGGCCAGCUCUCUGCUAUGGCCAGGGAGUGCAGUGGAGGAUGGCCCAGGUGCUUGGGCCCUGCACCCCAUGGGAGACCAGGAAAAGCACCUGGCUCCUGGCUCCUGCCAUCGGAUCAGCGCGGUGCGCCGGCCGCAGCGCGCCGACCGCGGCGGCCAUUGGAGGGUGAACCAAUGGCAAAGGAAGACCUUUCUCUCUGUCUCUCUCUCUCACUGUCCACUCUGCCUGUCAAAAAAAAAAAAAAAAAAAAAAAAAAAAAAAUUUCCGCGACUACACUGACUGAAAGUGGAAACCACUGAUUUUCGUGAAGAUGAACUUUUUUUUUUUUUUUUUCUGAUCAAGGUCCCACUUUAUUGAAGGAGGCAGCUUAUAUAGUACAAGGCAAGGAUUGUAACAGUUGAGGGCAAGCAGGGGUCAUUUUACAACAUAGUUAGAAGGAAUGGUUUUACAGGAGUUUUAAAUCAACAUCAGUUUGACAAGGGGAGUUACCGUGGGGUUUUACAGCCACCAAAUACGCUUAUCAAGAUACAAGAGGUUGUGAGAUCAGAGGGCACUGAAGCCAGAAGGCCAAGCACCAACCAUAUCAGUGAUCUGUACAAACGGAGCUUUCUAGUGAUUUGUAGUGAAAGUUAAUCUAAACAGAGGCCUAUACAGGGAAACCAACACAGUGGCUCCCAACAGUCUCCUUCCCUCCCCAAAGCCUAUACCCAUCUUAAGACUAUUAUUGAGGAACUGUGCUGCUCUGUUUUCUUUCAAAGCAGUUUCUUUGAAAUUGGCUAGAAAGGAGUUCAGUAUGGACAAUUUGGCACAUUAGUGGGGAAGGUUAGAUGAAGAAUAAUCUAUAAAAAAGUGAGGUCAAAGGAAAUCCAUGCCAAUAGAAAGCCUGAGUAAAAAUUUGUAACCAAUAACAGAAUUAUUUUUUAAAAAAUACUAGUCUGUACAUGAGAAAGCAAUUUCUCUUCCACACCCAUUAUCUAAUUCCAAGUUAGUUUGCAAACUCCAUUUUGAGGGCAGAAUGGGAGUUACUUUAUUUGAGUUGUUUUUUUGCCACUUUUUUGUUUUGUUGUCUGUCAAUGCGUCUUCACUCUUUUAAAAAAAUACACCACAAUACAAAUGGCAGCUUCUGCAGCUUUGUUCUGUUUUGUUUUGCCCACUUGGCUCAAAUCGUGUUGACAAAGAGCUCUACCAUUAUUUCCUUAACAGCUCCUGUGACUUCGUGACCGCCCGAGACUGCUCCUCCCGCGGGCACUUGAGAAGACACGACUGGCUUUCUGCAAGUUUUCUUCUCACUCUCACUCUGCGUGUUGCCUGUUGUGUGUUGUGUUGUGUGUGUGCACACAGGGCCCUCCUUCAGGCUCAUGGCUUUUGGAACUUGUUCUUAAUUGACUCUAGAGUAGAAUUCGAGGAUUAGCAGCUUCACUACAAAUGCACCGGUUUCCUCUCUCAGUCGCUGACACCUGACGGAUCUGAACGGUUCCUUCAGGGUCCACCAGGCGAGCUGCCACCAGGCUUCAGGGUCACGAGGCGCAGAAGAGCAGAGGCCAAGGCCCCGUGCGCACUGCGUGGCAACGCCAAGGGCCCUCCUGGCACAACGGCAUGCCCAGGGCCACGGGUACAGGUCGUCCUUCUUCCUAAUUGCGUUCCUUUCUGCUACUCAGUGAGCCCAGCUGGGUGUGCGACCUGACUCUUUAAACCUGAGGGUGGGCCUGCACGCCGGUCGCUUUGCACAUGUGCUUUCUGCGUGCCGCGUGUGUAAAUCCCGCGGCAUCGCUGUAGACACCCCUGGGAAUUCAGCCACACGUUUCCGACAAACUGGAGGAAGCAAUGGUAAUUUUCGCUUUUUUGGUUUUGCCUUCAGAUGAUGAAAAGCUUUUGUAAAACGGCUGAGUGUCAACACGAGUUCUACGGCUUCAAUCUCCAUUAAAAAUAAAAUCCUUAAGGGUCCAAAAUAAAGGAAAGGGGGGCCAAAAAAAAAAAAAAAAAAAAAAGCAGGUGUCAUCCCCCGCCGCCUCCAUAGACCGCUUCCAAUCCAGAGGAGCGGCAUAGAGUAACCUUGCACUGGCCACAAGGAGGCGCUGUUCCCCCAAGGAUCAGCCGACAGAGGUCUUGAGCAGCUCCUGUUGGCGGCUGGUGGGAGCCUGCUAAGUGCCAGCAUCUUUGAUAGAAACAGGACUGCGCCCCGAGUAACUUCUCUUGUAACCCCUACCUUGUCAUUCGGGAAUACAUCGUGGGGGGCUGGCAUUUGGGAAGUGAAUCAGAGGAUGGGAGAGCUUCCUCUUUGUAAUUCAAAUACAUAAUGAGUAAAAAUUAAAAAUAGAAGAAGAAAGGCAUCUUGGACAACACCACUCUGUCAGCAGCAGCUCAUGUAUACUAUUGGUGGUUAUUGGGAUUGUUUACUGUCUCUGGCAACUGUAAACAUACUUGUGGUGGUCAUGUUGGUCCCGACAUUGCUGGAGGCUGGGCUGGUUCUAACCCAGUCUUUCCCUGACUACAGGACAGCCCUGUGCUCCUCUCGGCAGGCGGGCUGACUUACCUGGCUGGGAGAGUGGGCAGUGGGUCGCUGGGAGUGUGAAGCUCUGUCUCCCGUUGGCUCUGCCCUGGACUGGCCUGCAUGCGGGUUAAGUCUUCUCUCGUUCUUCCUGGUGAUUAACUUCUCGGGGUGCAAUUGUCUGCAGUUCUUGUAACACUUCUGAAGGUAAGGGUGCUGUUUUCCUUUUCCAUGUUCACGUGUUACUUGUUCUACUUCUGCUUUCUUGUGUUUGUAAACUCACCUGGGAAGGCCUGGACAUGUCAGGUGCUUGGUCUAUGGCUGACAAAGUCCAUGUUGGCCCAGAAUCAGAAGAUUCUAUGGAGAUGAUCUCUCAGCAGUCUUGUUACUCCCAUGUGUUUUAUUCACCUGAUUCAGAACUCGGAAGAGGUAUUACUUCAAGCCUUCAAAGCAACAACGUGGGCUCCGGAAGUAGAGGAAUCAGUUCCGAAUCCCCAUCCUUUCGUUCAUUUUCUUACUUUUACGACCUUCGGCAAAUUAUCUUUCUGAGCUGCAGUUUACUUAGUUUGCAUGCUCUCUCCAAAGCUCAAGGAAUUCAAUUACUAUCAUGAGGUUAAGAGGUGGGACCUUUCAGAAGUGGUUAGGUCACGAUGACUCCAUCUUCCUGAAUGGACUGAUGUGAUGGUGGGAGGGGGUUAUUUCUUGUGACUGCAGCAGUGGACUAGUUGUGGCUGAGGGGAAUGGGUUAAUUGUGACUGAUGGAAUGAGUUAAUCUUUUUUUUUUUUUAAAAGAUUUAUUUAUUUAUUUGAAAGUCAGAGUUAGAGAGAGAAGGAGAAGCAGAGAGAGAUAGAGAGAGAUAGAGAUAGAGAGGUCUUCCAUCCGCUGAUUCAUUCCCCAAUUGGCUGCAAAGGCUGGAGCUGUGCAGAUCCAGAGCCAGGAACCAGGAGCGUCUUCUGGGCCUCCCACACAGGUGCAGGGGCCCAAGGACCUGGGCCAUCCUCCACUGCUUUCCCAGGCCAGAGCAGAGAGCUGGAUUGGAAGUGGAGCAGCCAGGACUCGAACCACCAUCCAUAUGGGAAGCCAGCACUGCAGGCGGUGGCUUUACCUGCUACGCCACAGCGCCAGACCUGGAGUGGGUUAAUCUUAUGACUGUGUGAGCGGGUUUGUUCUUGUGACUGAGUUUUGGCCCGUCUUGCCUCCUUGUCUCUCACCCUCUGUAGCCAUGUGCUGCCUUUGCCAUGCAUGAGCCUGGUCAGAUGCUAGCACCACUCUCUUGGAUUUCCCAGCCCUCAGGACUUUGAGCUAAAUAAACUCCUAUUGUUUAUAAAUGUCUCAGUCGUUGUUAUUCUGGUAUAGCAGCAGGAGACUGACAGACACUCCCCUAGUUCUCUGCUCCUCCUUCUUGGAUUCCACAGUGGUGUUUUUCAAGCCUCUAUUGUGGAUGGGCUCUUACUUUAUUUCUACUCUCCGCUUCCUCCCUAGACUGUUUCAUCCACUUUACUUUCGUGGCUUCAAUCAUUAUCCAUACACUGACAACUUGCAAAUAUUUUCCUCGAGCUCAGAACUUUUAUCUUGUUUUGCAAGCCCGUAUGUAUAUUGUACCAGUUUCGUGAUCUCUUAUCCAUUUGUUUAAUGGGUACUGAAAUUCGAGUAUAUUCCAGCCAUGCUUUAACUAUUGAGGACGCCAUAUUGAACAUAACAAGCUUGAUUUCUGCUCACACCAAGCUUACAUCCUGGGUGGAAUUAGAUUGGAGAGACAGAUGGAAACAGUUGAGUUGCAGGAUAAUUUCAGAGACUAAAAAGACAUUUGAAGAAAAUAAAACAAGGUAUGAGGAUGUGAAUAAGUCUUAUAGGUAGAAAAGAUUUUUCUGAGGAGAUAUCAUUUAGGUUUAAAUGUGAAUGAUGAGGCUGGCGCCGUGGCUCAGUAGGCUAAUCCUCCACCUAGCAGCGCCGGCACACCGGGUUCUAGUCCCAGACGGGGCGCCGGAUUCUGUCCCGGUUGCCCCUCUUCCAGGCCAGCUCUCUGCUGUGGCCAGGGAGUGCAGUGGAGGAUGGCCCAAGUGCUUGGGCCCUGCACCCCAUGGGAGACCAGGAGAAGCACCUGGCUCCUGGCUUCGGAUCAGCGCGGUGCACCGGCUGCAGCGCACCAGCCGCGGCAGCCAUUGGAGGGUGAACCAACGGCAAAGGAAGACCUUUCUCUCUGUCUCCCUCUCUCACUGUCCACUCUGCCUGUCAAAAAAAAGAUGUGAAUGAUAAGAACCAGUUGUGCAAAGUCCUGGACUAGAUUUGUCCAGGGCAAGGGAAGCAGGCUUAGAAUGCUUAGGAGGUAGCUCUGGUGGGGCACAGGAAGUGCUGGCUUGAACCAUUCCCCGAAGGUCAUGUGUUGGAAACGUAAUCCCCUAAUUCAGAUGUUUCUUGUGUUUGGAGGUGAGAACUUUACAAGGUGACUGAAAUGUGUUCUUCCGUUCAUGGAUUAAUGGGUUAGUGGCGUAUGAGGAAAUGGCUUUGUUAUGAAAGGAGCUCUCUCUGGCAGCUUGUCAUCUUGCCACCACGUGAUGCUCUCCAUCGUGUAAUGAUGCAGCAAGAAGGCCCUGGCCUGAUGCUGCGCGAAGGCCAAGGCCAUGUCUUAGACCUCCCAGCCUCUAGAACAAGGAGCUAAGUCAACCCCUUUGCUUUAGAAGUUAACCAAUUUCAGGUAUUUUAUGACAACAGAAAAUUGGCUAAGACUGCAAGCAAGAAGAGAAAUGGGAGAAGAGGUGGUGACAGUUGGAGAGGUCUUCUGUCUGCAUUCCAGCCUCAGAUGUCAGCCAGGCCAGGGGAAUCGCCCUUUCACACCCUCAGAGCACUUCAUUUGUAUUUCUCUUCUUGCCCUCAGCCCAGUUUGCUGUGCUGUGGUUUGUUGGUUAUGCAUUUUGUGAGUUCUUUUUGGAGGACCAAAUGACUACAGCUACUUCCGACUUCUGAGGUCACUAUGGGAGGUCUUAAAGAAACACUGGCAGAGACACAAGCAUUGGAACACAUGACAAUUGUUAUCUGCUUGUUUAUGAGAUUCACUGAAGAAUCUUCUUUCUCUGUACCCACCCAGAAAAUGAAAACACGGGGCUGGUGCUGUGGCACAGCCGGUUAACGACCUGGCCUGAAGUACUGGCAUCCCAUAUGGGUGCUGGUUCUAGUCCCGGUUGCUCCUAUUCUGAUCUAGCUUUCUGCUAUGGCCUGAGAUAGCAGUGGAAGAUGGCCCAGGGCCUUGAGUCCCUGCACCCCUGUGGGAGACCCGGAAGAAGCUCCUGGCUCCUGACUUUGGAUUGGCGCAGCUCUGGCCGUUGAGGCCAUCUGGGGAGUGAACCAGC